UAUCUUCAGGGCAGGGUGUAAUUCCCUACCGGCGGUACAGCCCGCGAGCCUUUUAGGCAUGAUUCGGUGUGAUUCCGAAGCCGACAGUAUAGUCUGGAUGGAAGAAGAU
Molecule: non-coding RNA, 109 nt
Filed under: uncultured Anaerostipes sp.
Lineage: Bacteria; Bacillati; Bacillota; Clostridia; Lachnospirales; Lachnospiraceae
Description: FMN riboswitch (RFN element)
Rfam family: FMN riboswitch aptamer (RFN element)
About the family: The RFN element is a highly conserved domain that is found frequently in the 5'-untranslated regions of prokaryotic mRNAs that encode for flavin mononucleotide (FMN) biosynthesis and transport proteins.
Source: RNAcentral